UUGGAGGGCAAGUCUGGUGCCAGCAGCCGCGGUAAUUCCAGCUCCAAUAGCGUAUAUUAAAGUUGCUGCAGUUAAAAAGCUCGUAGUUGAAUUUCGGGACCAUCAUGUCGGUCGUGCCUCGGUACGUACUGGUAUAGUUGGUUUCUCCCUUCUGACGAACCAUGAUGUCAUUUAUUUGGUGUUGUGGGGAAUCAGGACUGUUACUUUGAAAAAAUUAGAGUGUUUAAAGCAGGCUCACGCUUGAAUACAUUAGCAUGGAAUAAUGAAAUAGGACGUUUGAUUCUAUUUUGUUGGUUUCUAGGAUCGACGUAAUGAUUAAUAGGGAUAGUUGGGGGCAUUAGGAUUCAAUUGUCAGAGGUGAAAUUCUUGGAUUUAUUGAAGACUAACUACUGCGAAAGCAUUUGCCAAGGAUGUUUUCAUUAAUCAAGAACGAAAGUUAGGGGAUCGAAGACGAUCAGAUACCGUCGUAGUCUUAACCAUAAACUAUGCCGACUAGGGAUCGGAUGAUGUUAAUUUUUUAAUGACUCAUUCGGCGCCUUACGGGAAACCAAAGUGUUUGGGUUC
RNAcentral lists this ribosomal RNA (564 nucleotides) under uncultured Glomeromycotina. RNAcentral's name for it is "SSU rRNA". It matches the Rfam family "Eukaryotic small subunit ribosomal RNA", at positions 548 to 1114 of the family's 1831-position model. The record is from RNAcentral. Lineage: Eukaryota; Fungi; Glomeromycota.